CAAAGGUCAUUUUCUCGCUCUCUUUCAGUCCCAAGUGAGCCACCUGAGCCUUCUCUCUUCAACUGCUUUUCUUUCUGACCUAAUCUCCUAAUGAAUACGGAGACCUGUGCAAUUCCAACCAACACUCUGCUCUUUUCUUCCUUCAUAGCUGUCACACAGAGGAAACCCAAGACAGCAACAUAUUCUGGAAGCCAGGUUUCACUGAGCACGGCUUCUUCAUCAAAGAAGAUUAUGUCAACAAUAUUUUAUGACUCCUGAUACUGUAACUUGAAAAAGUAAAUAGUGAAAGUACUCCGGAUAUGUUGGAAGUUCUUUUGCAACCUGGAGAAUACCUGAGAAGAGUCACUGCCACUGUGGUACAGAAACUGUAUGCCAAUUCAGUUGGCAUGCAGGGAGUAAUUGAAUUGACCUGGAUAUAUGGAAUCUUGGGUGGAGAGAGUGAAUGAUGAGAAAACUAUGAGAAAAUCUCUUGGGCUUGCUUCAGAGGCUGCUGUGUGCAGAACAGAGAGAGAAGGUGGUAGCUUACUCUGGUCCUCAGGGCAACAGCCAUUGCAUGGAGGAAGAAAAGAGGGGCUGUGGCCAGUCCUGAAUCUGGGAAGGUGUUGUCCAGAAUUCCUGACCACCACAGAACAUCCCUUCCUGAUGUGUGAGGUGGAGCUAUGUGGCCUGAGUUAGGGGCAAUGGUUUCAGAAAGCUGAAGUGGAAACAAUGCUGGAUUGGAAAAAGUCAGAAAACUCUAGAGAAGACUGCAUUUGUGCUCUCUGUGGUCUUCCUGCUGUAAUGUUCCAGGCCAGGAUUGGUUCUUCUGGGUAUAAGUCAUGAGGGGAUUCAACCUGCACCUGGAAAGAAGGUAUCAAGCUAGGGAUGGGGAGAAAUUACCCAGGGCAAUCCAGUGCUGGGGAUUACACAAUGAAAAGUCCCUUAGACAGCAGUGUGGUGGAUACUUCCACCAACAUUCAUUCAGUAAAUAUCUUCUGGUGACCUGGUAUGGAUCUUUUAAUUCUGAGGCAAUCACAGAGAUGGCAGGUCACCAGUAGUUUCUAACUGAAGGUGGUAGUAACUGGCAAUGCAUUGCUUUAGGACUGUAGGCAUUACAGCUAUUUUUUUCAAUAUGAACUUUAUAAUGUAGAACUAAGACCCCAGAAAAACCUCAUAGAUAUAAAAUUUUCCUCUCUAGCUAUUGAUGUCAUUUUAUUUACUUAUUUAUUUUUGUUUGGUUUGAUUUGGUUAUGGGUUAGCAAUCUGAAAGCAGUUACCAUUACUAAUUCUAAAAAUGGAUUCAAAAUAGGAACACUUCCAAAUUAGAAGCAUUUUUUUAAAAGGAGUCUGAAUUCAAAAGUCUGACUUUAUCUUUAUCAAAUGCUUUUGGCAAUGUUGAAGAAAUCUUCUGGGAGAAAUGUAAUAAACAUUUCUUGGAGGGACAGCAUAGAGUGCAAACAUCUCAAACGUGAUUCACUUGCAUUUUCUGAACAAUGCUUUUGCCUACUCUGAGCUGUUGGUUCCAGUAUUUGGAGUUCUCAUGACAGAAAUCCAAAACCACUUCUAGAUUCUUCUCCUCCAUGACCACCCUAAUGUUAUUCAUGCACUUGCUUUGCACAAACACCUCUUUCUGUGAUAAAACCUGGAACCUGAAAUCAAUGAAUACAGACAACACAAUAGCACUUGAACUUCUGACUUUAUUAUUUUUCUUCAAAUGAACAGGUG
This 1704-nucleotide long non-coding RNA is filed under the name Homo sapiens (human). RNAcentral's name for it is "HSALNT0042291". The record is from RNAcentral. Lineage: Eukaryota; Metazoa; Chordata; Mammalia; Primates; Hominidae.